UAAGGAGUUGAUUUUGGAAGAAUUUCAGCUGGUUGUGCCACCAAUGGUAGAACAGCUGCGGGUUUUAUUGGUACGUUGGUGACUCAACCGGUUGGAACUCUUCCAAAAUCAACUCCGGG
Molecule: microRNA precursor, 119 nt
Filed under: Gossypium raimondii (Peruvian cotton)
Lineage: Eukaryota; Viridiplantae; Streptophyta; Magnoliopsida; Malvales; Malvaceae
Description: miR8718 stem-loop (gra-MIR8718)
Source: miRBase by way of RNAcentral